Molecule: transfer RNA, 82 nt
Filed under: Flammeovirgaceae bacterium
Lineage: Bacteria; Pseudomonadati; Bacteroidota; Cytophagia; Cytophagales; Flammeovirgaceae
Also listed under: 1 other name
Description: tRNA-Leu
Rfam family: tRNA
About the family: Transfer RNA (tRNA) molecules are approximately 80 nucleotides in length. Their secondary structure includes four short double-helical elements and three loops (D, anti-codon, and T loops).
Source: RNAcentral
GCCGAAGUGGUGAAACUGGUAGACACGCACGUUUCAGGGGCGUGUGGCGAAAGCUGUGUGGGUUCGAGUCCCACCUUCGGCA